Molecule: ribosomal RNA, 230 nt
Filed under: uncultured bacterium
Lineage: Bacteria
Description: partial 16S ribosomal RNA
Rfam family: Bacterial small subunit ribosomal RNA
Source: RNAcentral
AAAGCGUGCGCAGGCGGUUAUAUAAGACAGAUGUGAAAUCCCCGGGCUCAACCUGGGAACUGCAUUUGUGACUGUAUAGCUAGAGUACGGUAGAGGGGGAUGGAAUUCCGCGUGUAGCAGUGAAAUGCGUAGAUAUGCGGAGGAACACCGAUGGCGAAGGCAAUCCCCUGGACCUGUACUGACGCUCAUGCACGAAAGCGUGGGGAGCAAACAGGAUUAGAUACCCCAGU